This 355-nucleotide unclassified non-coding RNA is filed under the name soil metagenome. RNAcentral describes it as "partial contains 5.8S ribosomal RNA, internal transcribed spacer 2, and large subunit ribosomal RNA". The stretch from base 1 to 120 matches the Rfam family "5.8S ribosomal RNA", at positions 35 to 154 of the family's 154-position model. The record is from RNAcentral.
GAUGAAGAACGUAGCGAAAUGCGAUAGGUAAUGUGAAUUGCAGAAUUCAGUGAAUCAUCGAAUCUUUGAACGCACAUUGCGCCCAUUAGUAUUCUAGUGGGCAUGCCUGUUCGAGCGUCAUUAAGUCCACUUAAGCCCUGCUUAGUGUUGGGAGACUGCUCCAGCGGUGCUACCCUGUAGCUACCCUGCAGCUCCUCAAAGACAGCGGCGGAGUUGUGGUAUCCUCUGAGCUUAGUAACUUGUUCUAGCUUUCGAGUACACCACUUCCCCUGCCGUAAAACCCUUAAUUUUGAAUGGUUGACCUCGGAUCAGGUAGGAAUACCCGCUGAACUUAAGCAUAUCAAUAAGCGGAGGA